Molecule: ribosomal RNA, 494 nt
Filed under: uncultured bacterium
Lineage: Bacteria
Description: bacterial SSU rRNA
Rfam family: Bacterial small subunit ribosomal RNA
Source: RNAcentral
AUCCUGGCUCAGAUUGAACGCUGGCGGCAUGCCUUACACAUGCAAGUCGAACGGCAGCACGGGGCAACCUGGUGGCGAGUGGCGAACGGGUGAGUAAUGCAUCGGAACGUGCCAUUGAGUGGGGGAUAACGUAGCGAAAGUUGCGCUAAUACCGCAUAUUCUGUGAGCAGGAAAGCAGGGGACCGCAAGGCCUUGCGCUCUUUGAGCGGCCGAUGUCAGAUUAGCUAGUUGGUGAGGUAACGGCUUACCAAGGCGACGAUCUGUAGCGGGUCUGAGAGGAUGAUCCGCCACACUGGAACUGAGACACGGUCCAGACUCCUACGGGAGGCAGCAGUGGGGAAUUUUGGACAAUGGGCGCAAGCCUGAUCCAGCCAUGCCGCGUGAGUGAAGAAGGCCUUCGGGUUGUAAAGCUCUUUCGGCCGGGAAGAAAUCGCAUGGGUUAAUACCCUGUGUGGAUGACGGUACCGGAAUAAGAAGCACCGGCUAACUACGUG